GCCACCUUAGCUCAGCCGGUAGAGCGACGCUUUCGUAAAGCGUAGGUCCUCGGUUCAAAUCCGAGAGGUGGCUCCA
Molecule: transfer RNA, 76 nt
Filed under: Planctomycetota bacterium
Lineage: Bacteria; Pseudomonadati; Planctomycetota
Description: Planctomycetes bacterium (sediment metagenome) tRNA-Thr
Rfam family: tRNA
About the family: Transfer RNA (tRNA) molecules are approximately 80 nucleotides in length. Their secondary structure includes four short double-helical elements and three loops (D, anti-codon, and T loops).
Source: RNAcentral